AGAGAAGAUCGAGCUGAGGGCACAGCUGGCUCGACAAUCAGCUUCUGAUAAACGUCUGAGUGAAAAGAAUGUCAAACCGAUGGCACAGCUGGCACUAAAAUCAGGAGCCAUAAGGAAGAAUCCUUCCAACCGGGAUGCCACUGACAAGGCUGUCCAGAACCAGAUCCCCAGAUACCAGAAAGAGGCAGCUGACCGUGCAGGUGGGGUAAGAUGUCGCAGCGGUACAAGGGACCUGCCGUGAAUAUGAAUGACCUCUCCAGCACGACCAAUAUUGCUGCUAAGCUGCAAUACUAUAUUUGGCGAUGAUGGGACAAGGAGAGCUGGACAAAGUGACCGGGACUCUCUGGAGCCGGUGGUAGCAGCUGAGGAGGUUUGGUUUGGGUUAUUUUCACAUGAGAGUGACUUUGUGUGUGUGAUUGGUUGACACGGGUGGGAUAUAAUUCACUUGGGCAUGUACAGGUGUGGGUGAUUUUCUUUUAGCCCUCCCUAUUUAAUAGUGUCUUACCAAUCACAUAGAUGCUGUGUAACUGAUUGUUUGCGUGCAGGUGCGAGAAGCAGUGCUGCCCCGAAUGCGUUGUUGAACUUCUAUCUGAUCUGCUGUAAUCAAGAAAAGUGCGACCCAACCUUGUCUUGGAACUGGCUGAUGAAAGUAUCCAAUGGAUUGACAGGCUACGGCAAUUCUCAGCUACCUGGGACGCAACACUGGGACUCAAGACUGAGGCCGGUCGACCUUUUAACUAGGCUUUUCCGUUUUUUGUAAUUAGAAUAAAAACAACAGACAGGUGAUUGUAA
Esox lucius (northern pike) is the source of this 792-nucleotide long non-coding RNA. RefSeq lists it as uncharacterized. Lineage: Eukaryota; Metazoa; Chordata; Actinopteri; Esociformes; Esocidae. The transcript is spliced from 3 exons. The record is from RefSeq and is a predicted model, not a curated record.